GGUGGUUCUCAGGUGAAGCACCCCGGAAUCUAGCUCCCUCCUCUCUGGUUCUGAGUAUAUCACCCGGGAACCGCA
Molecule: non-coding RNA, 75 nt
Organism: Myotis brandtii (Brandt's bat)
Lineage: Eukaryota; Metazoa; Chordata; Mammalia; Chiroptera; Vespertilionidae
Source: Rfam